This 113-nucleotide transfer RNA is filed under the name Nocardioides sp. RNAcentral's name for it is "tRNA-OTHER". The record is from RNAcentral. Lineage: Bacteria; Bacillati; Actinomycetota; Actinomycetes; Propionibacteriales; Nocardioidaceae.
GGCGGUGGCGGUGUGCUCGGACGAGCUCUAGCGCGUCCGGCUUGACGCGGUCGAGUCGUCCGCCACGCCUCCUGAAAAUCGGAAGGUCGGCGGUUCGACCCCGCCUCUGGCCA